UCCGUGAUAGUUUAAUGGUCAGAAUGGGCGCUUGUCGCGUGCCAGAUCGGGGUUCAAUUCCAAUUCCCCGUCGCGGAG
This 78-nucleotide transfer RNA is filed under the name Saccharomyces cerevisiae (brewer's yeast). Its description in RNAcentral is "tRNA-Asp (GTC) (tRNA-Asp-GTC-2-1)". It matches the Rfam family "tRNA". From Rfam's summary of the family: Transfer RNA (tRNA) molecules are approximately 80 nucleotides in length. Their secondary structure includes four short double-helical elements and three loops (D, anti-codon, and T loops). Further hydrogen bonds mediate the characteristic L-shaped molecular structure. tRNAs have two regions of fundamental functional importance: the anti-codon, which is responsible for specific mRNA codon recognition, and the 3' end, to which the tRNAs corresponding amino acid is attached (by aminoacyl-tRNA synthetases). tRNAs cope with the degeneracy of the genetic code in two manners: having more than one tRNA (with a specific anti-codon) for a particular amino acid; and 'wobble' base-pairing, i.e. permitting non-standard base-pairing at the 3rd anti-codon position. Lineage: Eukaryota; Fungi; Ascomycota; Saccharomycetes; Saccharomycetales; Saccharomycetaceae. The record is from RNAcentral.